GACAGAGGGUGCAAGCGUUGUUCGGAAUUACUGGGCGUAAAGCGCGUGUAGGCGGCUAUUCAAGUCGGAUGUGAAAGCCCUCGGCUCAACCGGGGAAGUGCACCCGAAACUGCAAAGCUAGAGUCUCGGAGAGGAUCGUGGAAUUCUCGGUGUAGAGGUGAAAUUCGUAGAUAUCGAGAGGAACACCGGCGGCGAAGGCGGCGAUCUGGACGAUGACUGACGCUGAGACGCGAAAGCCAGGGGAGCGAACGGG
RNAcentral lists this ribosomal RNA (253 nucleotides) under uncultured bacterium. RNAcentral describes it as "partial 16S ribosomal RNA". It matches the Rfam family "Bacterial small subunit ribosomal RNA", at positions 524 to 776 of the family's 1533-position model. The record is from RNAcentral.